This 72-nucleotide transfer RNA is filed under the name Nanobdellota archaeon. RNAcentral's name for it is "tRNA-His". It matches the Rfam family "tRNA". Rfam says of the family: Transfer RNA (tRNA) molecules are approximately 80 nucleotides in length. Their secondary structure includes four short double-helical elements and three loops (D, anti-codon, and T loops). The record is from RNAcentral. Lineage: Archaea; Nanobdellati; Nanobdellota.
GUGAACGUAGUAUAGUGGUUAUUAUUCGUGGUUGUGGUCCGCGAGACGAGGGUUCGAUUCCCUCCUUUCACC